Molecule: ribosomal RNA, 441 nt
Filed under: uncultured bacterium
Lineage: Bacteria
Description: partial 16S ribosomal RNA
Rfam family: Bacterial small subunit ribosomal RNA
Source: RNAcentral
CCUACGGGUGGCAGCAGUGGGGGAUAUUGCACAAUGGGGGGAACCCUGAUGCAGCGACGCCGCGUGUGGGAAGACGGUCCUCUGGAUUGUAGACCACUGUCCCCAGGGACGAAAAUGACGGUACCUGGGGAGGAAGCUCCGGCUAACUCCGUGCCAGCAGCCGCGGUAAUACGGAGGAGGCGAGCGUUAUCCGGAUUUACUGGGGUUAAAGGGCGUGUAGGCGGGACUGUAAGUCAGAUGGGGAAACCACGGGCUCAACCUGUGGCCUGCAUUUGAAACUGUAGUUCUUGAGUACUGGAGAGGCAGACGGAAUUCGUGGUGUAGCGGUGAAAUGCGUAGAUAUUAGGAGGAACACCAGUGGCGAAGGCGGUCUGCUGGACAGCAACUGACGCUGAGGCGCGAAAGCGUGGGGAGCAAACAGGAUUAGAUACCCGAGUAGUC